CAUGCAAGUCGAACGCUUCUUUCCUCCCGAGUGCUUGCACUCAAUUGGAAAGAGGAGUGGCGGACGGGUGAGUAACACGUGGGUAACCUACCCAUCAGAGGGGGAUAACACUUGGAAACAGGUGCUAAUACCGCAUAACAGUUUAUGUCGCAUGGCAUAAGAGUGAAAGGCGCUUUCGGGUGUCGCUGAUGGAUGGACCCGCGGUGCAUUAGCUAGUUGGUGAGGUAACGGCUCACCAAGGCCACGAUGCAUAGCCGACCUGAGAGGGUGAUCGGCCACACUGGGACUGAGACACGGCCCAGACUCCUACGGGAGGCAGCAGUAGGGAAUCUUCGGCAAUGGACGAAAGUCUGACCGAGCAACGCCGCGUGAGUGAAGAAGGUUUUCGGAUCGUAAAACUCUGUUGUUAGAGAAGAACAAGGACGUUAGUAACUGAACGUCCCCUGACGGUAUCUAACCAGAAAGCCACGGCUAACUACGUGCCAGCAGCCGCGGUAAUACGUAGGUGGCAAGCGUUGUCCGGAUUUAUUGGGCGUAAAGCGAGCGCAGGCGGUUUCUUAAGUCUGAUGUGAAAGCCCCCGGCUCAACCGGGGAGGGUCAUUGGAAACUGGGAGACUUGAGUGCAGAAGAGGAGAGUGGAAUUCCAUGUGUAGCGGUGAAAUGCGUAGAUAUAUGGAGGAACACCAGUGGCGAAGGCGGCUCUC
This 704-nucleotide ribosomal RNA is filed under the name uncultured Bacilli bacterium. Its description in RNAcentral is "bacterial SSU rRNA". It matches the Rfam family "Bacterial small subunit ribosomal RNA", at positions 54 to 729 of the family's 1533-position model. Lineage: Bacteria; Bacillati; Bacillota; Bacilli. The record is from RNAcentral.